GGGWGAAGUCGUAACAAGGUAGCCGUAGGGAGAACCUGUGGCUGGAUCACCUCCUUUCUAAGAGUUAAGUUUGAAUCGCGCGGACUCUUCCGAGGAUUCGAAGGGACUUCUUUCAGUACGCUUUCUGCCUCAAAUACUUUUCUGUCCCAGGAACGCCGCCGGGCCUGUAGCUCAGUUGGUUAGAGCGCACCCCUGAUAAGGGUGAGGUCGGCAGUUCGAAUCUGCCCAGACCCACCAAUUUUGUGUGGGAACCUGUAGAAAUACGGGGCCAUAGCUCAGCUGGGAGAGCGCCUGCCUUGCACGCANGAGGUCAACGGUUCGAUCCCGUUUAGCUCCACCACUCUUUUAUUGAUUAAAGAAGAAGUUAGUCAAUUACUGUCUUCGCUUUACAUUCCUCCUAAGCCAAUCGUUAAGCGAUUAGAAAGAGAGGGAAUGGAUUNAAUNAAGCUAAGAACGUAACUGACUGGGUUUUUACCCCAGAAGCUCUU
Molecule: unclassified non-coding RNA, 488 nt
Filed under: uncultured bacterium
Lineage: Bacteria
Description: partial contains 16S ribosomal RNA and 16S-23S ribosomal RNA intergenic spacer
Rfam family: tRNA (bases 161-234)
Source: RNAcentral